UACCAUAACUGUUUAUUAGUUAUAUACUCCAAAUGGAGUUCCCAAAUGAGAAGAUAAGUUUCGAGAUACGAAACUCGGCUGCAUUUGAUAACAGAGCAUACAAUGAAGAGUUUCCUCUGCCCCCUGGUAUUUGUGGAAGACGAUAUCAUUCCCAUGGAUAUAUCCAGCCUUAUAAUUGGAUUGGAGAGAGCAUAUCUUCUAACCAUGAUUACUUGAUAGUGCAUGGGUCAAUUAGAAGUAAUUCGCAGGUUGAAAUAGCAGAUGAAUUUCCCGAACACAUCAUGUACGAUGGCGAAACGAGGCAUCACUAUAAAAACAAAAGGGAGUUUAAUAAUGAUUUUGAUGAUAUUCGCAUAUAUUCAGAAAUAGGAGAUUUCACAAAGCUUAAUACGACUGAGCAGUCAGACGUCAAAGGUUUUGAUCAAAGAGAAUAUGUACAACGACUAUCAAAUAACUACUGCGAAAAGAAAGACAAAGAAACAAAUCAGGCAUUGAAACAUUCGUCGUGUUCACCUUGCAAAAUUGUUAUCCUUAUAACGAUAAUAACUAUACUCUUAACUUUGCUUGGCUUUGGACUUAAUUUCUUAAUCCUCAGAAAUAUCAGUGAAGGCUUCCGAAGCGCUUUUUCGGAUUUACCUUCAUCAGGAAAGCUCAGCCAAGGAUGUAUACGAAUCGAAACUGUUGAAGAGCUAUAUGACCAAAAAGGACAUGUAUAAAAAUACUAGUAUCGUAACAAACUCUUAAACGUUGAACAUUGAAAAUUUGAAAUACUUUUGAGUAUUUUACCUUUCUUUUCGAUUACAAAUUACUGAAUGAAAAGUCGGUUGAAAUGAAAUAUUCGAACAUUUACUAUAACAUUAAGUUGAUAAUAAACACAUUUUACGCUUUAAUUCAUUCAUUCUGUAUUCAAGAUUAACUUUCAUUUGUUUUCUCUUACAUCAUGCUUCUGUAACAUUUAAAAGUGACUCUUCAAGUAGCCACUUUACUAAAAAAAAAAGGUGAUCUUCUUAAGACAUAGAGGCGAAUAAAAAACAUUUUGGAUAUAUUCUGUCUUCAAAAAUAUUUUGAAAAGAUAUACGAAUAAAAGAAGAUUUGAAUCACACUGCAACGAAACAGCAACCUUCCAACAAAAAAGCCUUUACUACAAAGUUUAGCAAUUCACGACGUUCAACAAUAUACAAAGUGUCAAUUCACUAUAUCAGGGAGCAGAAAAAAGAACACCUACAUGCCAUUAAUACAAACUUUUGUAAAAUGCCAUAAAACAAAUUAAGAAAAGCGCUUUCGACGCAUGAAAUUUCUAAAGUGUUGAUUUCAUUUUCUAAGAUAUAAAAAAAAAGACAACCACUGACGGAGUAAAUCAAAUUUGUUGUAAUCCGUGAAUGCCAUUUAAACAACAUGUAAAGUCAAUCGAAUGGGCACCAUGUUUCGAAGUCGUAAUGGUUACUAUAUUUUUUUUUUCUCAAAUUUUGGGGCAUGGUAUUUUCGCUAUUUUAAAGAUAUGUAUCGUUUUUGUCCAUUCUAUUUUAUUAUAUUACUGUUUUCAUUUUAUUUACAAUUCGACACGAAGAAACUUUAAAAAAGGUCGCUAGUACGGAAACCUUUUCUAGAUAGUUUUACUAGAGUAUCGGCAGCAUAU
Long non-coding RNA from Mytilus californianus (California mussel), 1636 nucleotides. RefSeq lists it as uncharacterized. Lineage: Eukaryota; Metazoa; Mollusca; Bivalvia; Mytilida; Mytilidae. The transcript has 3 exons. The record is from RefSeq and is a predicted model, not a curated record.